UGGUUAUAAUAGCAGAGAAGAUACACCUGUUUCCAUUCCGAACACAGAAGUUAAGUUCUCUAGCGCUGAUGGUACUUGGUCCCCUACGAGUCACCAUUUGUGGGAUCAUAGCUCAGCUGGGAGAGCACCUGCCUUACAAGC
This 141-nucleotide ribosomal RNA is filed under the name Clostridioides difficile. Lineage: Bacteria; Bacillati; Bacillota; Clostridia; Peptostreptococcales; Peptostreptococcaceae. The record is from RNAcentral.